Molecule: non-coding RNA, 454 nt
Organism: Manis javanica (Malayan pangolin)
Lineage: Eukaryota; Metazoa; Chordata; Mammalia; Pholidota; Manidae
Source: RefSeq, a predicted model, not a curated record
CUGCUAACCAGCCUGUAUCUUAUUUCCAGUUCAGGACCUCAAGGGACUGGGCUACGAGAAGGGGAAGCCCGUCGGUCUGGUAGGUGUCACAGAGCUGUCAGACGCCCAGAAGAAGCAGCUGAAAGAGCAGCAGGAGAUGCAGCAGAUGUAUGACAUGAUCAUGCAGCAUAAGCGCGCGAUGCAGGACAUGCAGCUGCUGUGGGAGAAGGCGCUCCAGCAGCAUCAGCAUGGCUAUGACAGUGACGAGGAAGUGGACAGCGAGCUGGGCACCUGGGAGCACCAGCUACGGCGCAUGGAGAUGGACAAGACUCGGGACUCCCUACAAGACUCCUGCCUGUGCUGUGGGGCCUCCCGGCCCGCUCCCCGCCCUCCUCCUUCCUGUCCUCACCUUUCCUGCUCUCUGGGCAGAGUGGGCCGAGCAGCUGACACAGAUGGGCAGGGGCAAGCACUUCAU